CUUCUGGUCUCAAAGGCAGGGCCAAACUCAUAUCUCUCAGGAGAGUGAGAGUGAUUCUCCCUCCCAGUCCCUCUGUGCACCCACCCCACCAAUGUGCCUGCUGAACCCAUUCAGCCUCCCAAUCCCAGCAACAGAAUCUCAGACAAAAGAGAAGCAGAGUCCAUUCUUUAUUAGUGUUGGGGUCCCUGGCACACACCCCCCCCAUUCCCUUCCAUCUACCCUCCUUUCCCGCCUCUUCUUUGUCCUGGCAUCUGUCCAUUCGAGGCUGGGCCCCGGCGCCGGGGCCUCUCCACAGCUGCGUCAGGUCCAAAUGUCCAGCCCUCCCAGGCCUCAAGGCAGCGGAGGAGCUGAUGUGGCAUUUCCCUGGUUGGCCGGAACCAGGAGGGACAGCACCACAGGGGGCAGUGAAGGCCUUUCAGGGGUUCGAGUGGGGUGGGGAGGGUGCCUGAGGGGCUCACCUGUCACACACGGUCCUGAGUGUGGAGGAAGACGGUGGCGGGCGGCGGCGGCGUGGUCUCCGAAGCCCACAGUACACUCAUCCAUAAAGUAGGAAACACUACACCCUCCAGUGCUGUUAGUAGUGCUUUCUACUUUAUGGGUGACUGCACUGUCUGUCUGUCCGUCUGCGGGUACUCUUCAGGCCGCCCGCUCCUCCUCCUGACUCCUGCUUCAAGAGCCCCUCAGCCCUCCCCGUGGCUUCCCAAGACCCCAACACCCUUCUCCGUAGCCCCGAAAGGGCCCUGACUCCUUCGCUGCCCGGGAACUCCCCAGGCAGGCGCCCAAGGCUAUUGCAACGGAGAUGGUAGCCAUAUUGGGCGGCGGGAGACACUUAGUGCCUCUCACUGACACCACAUCCCACUUUUCAGCCUCUGCCCACCCUCUGCCGUUCCCACCCUACUCUCUGGCCCUUGUCCCUUGAAACCUUGAACCCCUCUUUCUUCAUCUGGGGGCCAGGAGCCAUUUUACCUUCCUCAUCUAGAGAGAAGUCAAGGCCCAGGAUUUUGAAGAGUUGUGCCACUAUGAAGGCCAGUAGAUCUGAGCGUUAUUGCACCUUUUUGCCUAGAGCUUUGCUAGUAAGCCUUGGCACCCAAGCCCCUGAAGCCUCCCCGAAAGCUUCUCCACCCAGGGCCCGAAACCCCAACCCCUCAUUGCCCCUUGAGGCCCAGAGUCGAGGAGCCCGAUUGGGGCUGAAGUGAAAGUUCGGACCCUUACCUGAUGCUGCAGGGCUGAAGGGAGCAAGUCCUGCGCUCCAGGCUCCCAAGUGGGGUUCCCUUCAGGGCGGGCAGGGCUUAUAACCCCGAGGCCACGUGGGCCAGAUCUCAGGGCGCCCAACGGUCUUGGAGCCCGCCCCCACACCACAGCGGAGAUUAGCGCCCCUCCCCUCCCAGGGGAGGACAGACUGACAGGAAACCAGAGACGAGGCUGGGUAUUGGCGGGAGGGGGGCUGAAGAGACCAUCUCACACACCCUGGGCAGGUGGCUUCCGGGACCCCGGGCCUGCCCUUCCCCCAUGGCACCAGCUCCAGGGGAUGAUUCAAGUGUCUGAGACUGACUCAGGGCACAGAGUGACUCCAGGAGGCAAGGACUCCCUCUCAAGACCUUCACCCAGCGAUGACUCCCAGCUCUGCUGGGUCUCAAACCAGAAGAAACAGAACAAGGCCAGAGACACAAUCAAGGAUGAGGAAGGGGCCAGGCCUGGGAUGAGGAUGCAGAGACAAUAAGAACCACCCAGCUGCCUGCUGCCUGAGUUCCUCGUGAUGAGAGAAAUUAAACCCUGGAUGAUGGUCAAUGGCCGAGAGAAGAGGUGGCUGAGAGAGGAGGCCUCUCUUUGUGGAGGAGACAGGAGUUCAAGUGGAUUCUUCAAACUCUGCCCCUUUGUGGAUUCCUCACAUCCCAGCGACUCCUGGAAAAGUGGAAGGUGAAGGGUGGAAAGAACAGAGCGCUCUGUGAGGACGGCCCUGUGAGCUCUUCUGGGCUGUUUCUUCAUUCACCUCCACGGAGCUGGGGGGAAGGGCAGCAGCUGAGGCAUCUAGAGAACUUUAUAUAACACAUUCAAUCUGAGUCUCAUUUGAUCAUCAUGCUGACCCAGUGAUGUAAACGAUGGUGUCCCCAUCUCAGAGAUGAGGAACCGGAAACUCGCGAGGUUAAGUUUCACCUUCCUGAAAAUCGGCCAACAGUCUGCAUUUCGUUUCUGUCCCCCUAAGAGACACUAUUCAAAGUGCUCCCAAAAGGACCAGGCCUGGCAGACUUCAGAGGGGAUACUCAACAGAUGGUGGAGAUGCAGGCUCACAAACCCAGAGAAGCGGGUUGGAAAAAGCAGUGGGGGGAACUCAAGGCAGACUUCCUGCCUCCAGGCUUGUGGGUGAGGGGGCAGAGGGGUCUAACAGGUGACCAAGUGGUCUGCAGAAUCUCUCCCACAGCGAAUGGCCACCCAGCCCCUUCCCUCAGAGCCUAGUAGGCAGUCAGGUGGGGGAGGGCUGGCCACGCAGGCCAGGGUCCCCCAGCAGCCACAGCAGAAGCAGCAGCAGCAGCAGCUCACAGCACUGGAGCCGUUAAAAAGUGACUCAACCAGAAAGUGCUUUUGAAGCGACGCCCGCCAGGGCCCCAGAGCCAAACCUCAAAAAGAUGAAGUGAGAGAGACAGGCCUGCGGGGGCUGGGCUGGGGGUGGAGGCCCGGCCUGGAGCCGGCCUGGCCAAAUAAGGGCAAAUGCUCCCAGGCCAGCCAAUGGGGUGCAGGCAGCCACGUCAUGGGGCUGUGGCUGGAGGUGGGGUGGAGGGAGGAGGUGAGAGGCCUGAGGCAAAAUGGGUGUGGGGGACGAGCAGGGGCACAAGCCCUCCAGGAAGGGUCAAGGGUGAGUGAGCCCAGGGAGGUGUUGGGGCCUUCAUCCCCAAAGACGUGGUGCUGAAGUCAGUAGACCCACACCCCCAAGAGCCCCACCUGCAGGCUGGGACUCAAGGGAGCAAAAGGAAGACAAGGAGGACCCCCUCACUCCUGCCUGGUUAUGGGCCCUAGAUCCCCACAGGCCGGGGCAGAACAAAAGGGAGGGCCAAAUGAAAGGGAGGCCAUAGGACUAAAACACCAGUGCAGGCUUGCCUGGCCACUGACCUUGGGCAAAUAACAUAACUGAAACUCAGUUUUUUCAUCUAUGAAAGGGGAAUAAUGCCUCAUAGGACAGUAUUGAGGGUCAAAUGCAAUGAUGGAGGUGGCCAGUUUUGAAUCUGGUAAAUGCCAUACUAAUAUAUUAUUAUCGUAGAAGCGCUGGCCCAGGGCUGCUUCUCAUUCAUAUUCUUGCCUCCCAGUUGCUGUUAAAGAUCUCUUUGCAGGGACACCAUGUGGUUCCCAAUUCUGGCCUCUGGUGUCUAUAAUGAGGGAGGGGAGGUGCGGGGGCCAGAGGGGUCCUUCCAAUCUAAGCUCAGCCCCUCCUGCUGCAGAAGCAGAACAGACACGCUCUCCUUGGGCUCAUUCACCAGGGACAUGAAGUGCCAACCUCAACCUCCUCCAUCCCCUUAUCUUCCUGCCUGGUUCUACUGGGCUCCAGACCCCGCCCCCAUCUCCCUGCUCCCCUGGGGUGCAGGGCUGAGGAAGUGAGUCUACUCAGCUGCCCAGAGAAAGUGCCAGUGCUGGAGCUGCCUGCACAGGGUGGGGGCAGCUGCUGGCUUCUCCCAGGGCCUGUGAUCACUCCCUCAGGCCUCCCCAGCCCCUGCUGGGACCACAAGCCCAGGAAGAAGGCUGGGCGCUGGCUGCCACCCUCUUCGUGGAGUUCUUUCUCUCUCCCAAGCAUGGAUUUGCAUGUACCCCUCUGCCCUCUGCUACUCAAGCCCCCAGAGACAAGGUGACAGUUAAACCCCUCUUCCGGCUAGUGGCCCCAGAGCACUCACUUCCUUCCAGGUAUUUUCCGGGACGGGGGGAGGGGUUGAAAGGGUGGCAGUUGCUGGGUUUGGGGAAGAAGGAAUGAGGACUCCAUUCUGGAGAGAAGCUGGGUUCCCCCACCCUGGUGCCUGAAGCUGUUCCUUACCUUCCCUCAAGUUCUCUCCGUAGCACAAGAGUUCAGUUUGGAGGAGGGAGAGUGCACAGUCAGGAGGCGCACAGGAGUUCUUGAAAUGGGCCUGCUAUCUGACUUCUUACAUGCCCAGGCCUCCCUCCGCUGUGGGGUGGACUCCCCAAGGAAAGUUUGGGCUUCAAGUCCUCUGUCCAUGACCCCAGAAUACCUGCCCCCAACUCUGGGGCGAGUGUUGAGAAUAGGAGAGCGGAGAUCUAGAGGGGAGAUGUUUUCCAUCAUAUUUCUCAAAGGAUCUGGCAUCCUGGUGCCAGCAGCACUGAGCUCUUUUCUCCGCACUCAGUUCCUGCUUCCUGCAAUCUUACAGCAAAGAGAAACACAGCAAUCUGUAGGCAAAAGGCGCUGAGCCAAGCAGU
Equus caballus (horse) is the source of this 4413-nucleotide long non-coding RNA. The record is from Ensembl. NCBI's taxonomy places the organism in Eukaryota, Metazoa, Chordata, Mammalia, Perissodactyla, Equidae.